Non-coding RNA from Vicia faba (fava bean), 237 nucleotides. The record is from the annotation of a GenBank genome assembly. NCBI's taxonomy places the organism in Eukaryota, Viridiplantae, Streptophyta, Magnoliopsida, Fabales, Fabaceae.
AUGAUUUUCUUACGCCGCGGCGGAAAUGAGAGAGACGGAAUCAGAUCACGAUUGAAUGUCAAUGAGAGAAAAGUGUAUGGAUGUGACAAAAAUGAAGAAGAAGAUGGAACCGGUAUUGCACUGCCGGUGAAGCUUCAGAGAAGAAGAAGACAACUUCACAUGGAAUGGGGAACGUCACAAACCCUCCUCAACCCUAUCUCCUCAAUACGCCACUGUUUGCCCUUCUUUGCUAGUUGA